Molecule: long non-coding RNA, 2727 nt
Organism: Panicum virgatum (switchgrass)
Lineage: Eukaryota; Viridiplantae; Streptophyta; Magnoliopsida; Poales; Poaceae
Exons: 3
Source: RefSeq, a predicted model, not a curated record
GCUGCCGAUGCGCGGUCCAUCCGUCGGGACCGCCGUCGCUCUCUACACGUGUCCUCGGAGAGGACGCCUGACGCGGGCCAUCGAUUUGCCAUUCGGUCCUUUCCCCGCAAGCACGCGCCGCACCACGCCCUCCGUCCCCGCCCCCGGUCACCGCCCUCUGCCCCUCGCCCUCCUCCCCCACCGCCGGUUGCCGCCCUUGACCGCCACCCCCUCCCGGGCUCCCAACCUCUCGACCCCCUCCGCCGGCAGCCCUCCAACCCCUGUCGUGCGCUCCGCCCCACCACCGGCGGGGAUCCGUCUGGCGGAUUCCCGGUGGUGCUUUUGGUCUGCUCCACCCUCCGGCGCCGUCGUCCGCGCCGAGGUCCUCCAACCGCUGCACCACCGCUGCCUCGCACCAUCCGCCAGCCUCAUUGCCUUCUCCACUCCAUUUUGUCAGAUCCCACAAGCGGUCAUCCUUCACUCCGGAUAAAAUCCAGCGCCGACCAAGCCUUGGCCCUCAGCACCUCCGCUCACCUUUCGCCUCCGCCCUAUUCAUGCACUCCUCCACCUGCCAACCCAGACCCCAAGACACGGCGGCGGCGGCGGCGCGGCCAACCAGUUCUUUCCUCCCUCACCCUCGGCCCCUCAUCAUAGAAACGAGGAUUGUGGCUACGACGGCCUCGCCGGCCUUCCCCUGCCUUGGUGAUGACUCCCAUGGAGAGCUCAACCUCCUAAUCUGGCGCCACAGCGUCCUCCUCCGCAGCUUAUCUGCCUUUGCUAACCCCAGCAAGCACGACCUGGAACACGAGGGCUCCGACGAGGCAACGUGGGAAGGAGCGGCCUUGGGCGGACCAAGUUUUGUCGAUCCGAUGAUGAUGGUAUGCCUAUUAAGGUUUCCAUUUCAAGUUAUGCCAAGUACCACGGUUUGUGCUGCUGUUUAGUUCAUCUUGUGCGCUGCCUUAAAGGGUUAUAACAAACUUUCACGUGCUCUUGGCAGAUCAAUAUAACAGAAGAAGCAAAUACUGAAGACUUUGCAACACACCUUAUGCUCCUGUUGAAUAGCAUCUUCAAGGAUGGAAUGGGCAACCUGGAAUCACACUCACAUUUUCUAUUACUUUUCAUUCUAAUAAAUUCAGAUGUUUUUUCAGUCCAAAAAAAACCCUGCUACUAGAACCAAGCAAAAACAUAUUUCAAUAAUGGUUUUCAUUGUGCUACAUAAACACUCUGCAGGUAUCAGUGCAAUUUGAUUCUAAUGGCAUGAGAUAGGGAGUUUCUGCGCAAUUAGUCCUUGCAUUACGUGACACUACUCUCUUUACCAAGUUUGGAUGUAACAUCAAUAUAAUAGGCUCUGAAUCUUUAAAUAAAACACUGCUGCUGCAAUCAAGAAGUUGACAAAAUUUCACAUAUCCGAAUCUAUAAGCUCUAAAGCUUCCAGGCUUUAGCCUCUGUAUUCCAGUCAGAACUAUCAGAUGUGAACAGCCCUUGUGUGUCAUGUACGGCUCACAUAGAUCAUUCUCCCUGAUCUUUACUUAAUUCCCUUGAUCAUACGUCUUUGUCUGCUAUCAUUUGUGUUUUUAUUGUAGCCUGUUGCAUACCUCUACUCAUCUAUUUUGCUAUAGUUUAUCAUUUCGAAACUCUGCUAUGCGGAUAUCCAGACUGAUGAUUAUAUAUGAAUAUAUCUUCUGUUACCGUUCUGUAGCAAGCAUAGAUAGAAGUUGGUGUAUUUCUUUUUUAUAUGACAUCUACUGUAUUAUUUCUCUUCUUAGACUGAUCCUUUCUUUUUUUCACUUAUUUUCCAGGUUUUGAUUGUUCUGGGUCCUCUGCCAAGGAAAUUAAUUUUUACCAACUAGAUUAUGAAAGUAAGACAUUAUGGAUUUUUUUCAUAUCUUUCUUUGCAGACUUUUACCCCAUGUGAAUUGCAAUUCCAAAGAGCCAGAACAAUGAAUACGUUCCUUUUUUUGGGGGGGAAUUUUAGGUGCAGCCAUGAAAUUGUUUUGUGGUAUUAAUGUUUCGCCUUUGAUUCUAGAAGUUUGCCCUUUGGAUCAAAGGUUCAUUUUCUUUUGUUUUAUUUUCUCAUUGCUGAAUGCUCAUGCAAUUUCUUUGGUUUCUUUAAUAUAUUGAACAACUACAUAUAUGACAUAAUGACAUAAUUUUUUAUCUCCUGUUAUCUCCUUACCAAAAGUAUCAAUAUUGUCUCAUGCCGUAGUAUGUUGUCUCUUCAACAAAUCGAGUACUAUUUUUCAAAUAUAAGGUCAAAAGGAGGUCGGCCAACUAUGAAUGGCAUCCUGUGUAACUUGCAGAUCCCCUAUUUUACCUUUAUUUGUGCUUUUAUUAUUUACCUUUGUAAUUGACCUAUCUUUGUUUUAUCUUUACAAUGAUUGACUGCAUGGCUUGGCAAGAUCUGAGUUCAUUGGCUGUGACCACUUGAUACCGUGUACUAGAUAUGUAUUGAUUUGGCCGGUCAUCUAAAAAAAAUUGCUUUUAAUUAUUUGAACUGCAAGGGUCAGUUUCUGACUGGUGCAGCGAAACAACCGCCACAGGUCAUAUAUACCUUCCCUGCGGGCGCGGCAUUAGCGCGCCAAUAUUCCUAGUAAUAUAAAUAUAUGCUAUCUCAGUUGUAUUCUCAGAUAAUGUUAAUGUGCUGAGAAAAAGGUAUCAUUGUUAUAAUUUUUGUUUUACCGGUCUUGUCAUUCUUCAAUCCAGUGAGUCUUCAGCCGGCCCGACAUAAAUGAAAAUAUGUUAAAUCCA